CCAGCAGCCGCGGUAAUACGAAGGGUGCAAGCGUUACUCGGAAUUACUGGGCGUAAAGCGUGCGUAGGUGGUUUGUUAAGUCUGGAGUGAAAUCUCGCCGCUCAACGGCGGGGCUGCUUUGGAUACUGCAUAUCUGGAGAUCGGUAGAGGCUGGUAGAAUUGCUGGUGUAGCGGUGGAAUGCGUAGAGAUCAGCAAGAAUACCCGUGGCGAAGGCGGCCAGCUGGGCCGAAUCUGACGCUGAGGCGCGAAAGCGUGGGGAGC
RNAcentral lists this ribosomal RNA (262 nucleotides) under uncultured bacterium. RNAcentral describes it as "partial 16S ribosomal RNA". It matches the Rfam family "Bacterial small subunit ribosomal RNA", at positions 508 to 769 of the family's 1533-position model. The record is from RNAcentral.